GAUGAAGAACGUAGUGAAAUGCGAUAAGUAAUGUGAAUUGCAGAAUUCAGUGAAUCAUCGAAUCUUUGAACGCACAUUGCGCCCGUCAGUAUUCUGGCGGGCAUGCCUGUUCGAGCGUCAUUACGCCCCUCAAGUCCCCUGUGGACUUGGUGUUGGGGAUCGGCGAGGCUGGUUUUCCAGCACAGCCGUCCCUUAAAUUAAUUGGCGGUCUCGCCGUGGCCCUCCUCUGCGCAGUAGUAAAACACUCGCAACAGGAGCCCGGCGCGGUCCACUGCCGUAAAACCCCCCAACUUUUUAUAGUUGACCUCGAAUCUGGUAGGACUACCCGCUGAACUUAAGCAUAUCAAUAAGCGGAGGA
This 358-nucleotide unclassified non-coding RNA is filed under the name soil metagenome. RNAcentral's name for it is "partial contains 5.8S ribosomal RNA, internal transcribed spacer 2, and large subunit ribosomal RNA". The stretch from base 1 to 120 matches the Rfam family "5.8S ribosomal RNA", at positions 35 to 154 of the family's 154-position model. The record is from RNAcentral.